GCCGUGAAGUUAAGAAGUAGUGUGGAGGGAAAACACAUGGAAAUUUAAUGUGAAAGUUUCUCAUUGCAAUAGAGCUGUUAAGUUUGGCAUGAAGACGGCUAUCAGAUGGCUCCUUUGACAUUAGUUGAGCCUUCAGUAAGUAAGACAAGCCUGAAGGAUUAGGUUGUCAACUUCAACCUGUCAUCUUUGGAGUCAGGGGAAAAAAGGUGCUUCCUCUUUUCCUUUCUUUUUCUUUUUUCUUCUUUUUUCUUUCCUUUUCUUUCUUUUUUACUUGUCUUUCUUUCUCUUUUCAUGCCCCCCCCCCUUGUUACUGGUUGUAUCUUCACUCGUUUUGAGCUUUCAACCCCGGGCAAAAGAGACAGUUAAUGGGCGACAACCUCAACCCCACACUGCUCAUGAAAGUGUCGUCUUUAAAGACGAGAGAAUCGAGCAGGCUGUAAGACUAAUCGCCCUGCGCCGGUAUGAAUUUAUCUAAAGAGGAUUUCAUGUGGAACCCCCGGAGCCGGCCGCCAAACGGAUGACUGCACAGUUUAAGAAAGUUAGUGGGACUCGUCCCAAUCAACUGUCAGGCUGCAUAAAAGGUUGGGGGCGAGCUGACUUAAGCAAACAAUAUUUAGCCAUCUAAGGAUACCAUAAGGCCUGAGAUUUUGCUUUGUUGCGCUGUCAGGAAAUAUUGGUACGUAUCAAGUAACACUCCUGGUGCAAAAGAGGUGCGUCUCCUUUCGGACUAUCUCUAUUUACAAAAGAGGCCUGUGCUCCCAGAAGGGUGGGGGCAGGGGACGUGCCAAGCCCAGCACUUCCCAGAGGACUUUCUUUACUUGCUUUCCCUGGGACCACAAUCUCGUUCAAAGAAGGGGGGAAAAUGAAAGAAAGAAAGAAAGAAAGAAAGAAAGAAAGAAAGAAAGAAAGAAAGAAAGAAAGAAAGAAAGAAAGAAAGGAAGGAAGGGAAAAAAGAAUUGAACUAAAAAAUCUCCUCCUUCUAAAUAAAUUAAACGUUAUUUGAAUUUAUAAAUUUCCUGAAUGCCUAAGACCCUGCCCAUGGCCCCCCCAGACUAUCUGCUGUGGAUUUUUUUUAAAUCAUGCUUCUCAUUGUUUAGUACGUUCAGAAGUAUGUUCAAAGCAUCUGAGUCUCCAGUGUAAAAUACAAUCAGGACUAUCAUCUAGCUAUCAAGCCUACACAGUAAACAUUCGAAAGAGGUCCCAUGAGCCAAAACUAUUUUUGUUAGAAAUAAUCUCCACAAUCCUAAUGACUCAUCCCUUUUAGUGCUUUAAGUACAUGGGGAGAAAAAAAAAUCAUAAUGUCUCCAGUUGGAAAACUGCACUGGGUACAUUGAGCUGUUACUGAAGAAUGACAGUUGAGUUGAGGAGUUUAAUUUAAAAGGAAAAUAAAAAAAGAAUACAAAACAAAACAACAACAAGGACAACAACAAACAUCGUUCUUUAUCAGAACACUCUAAACAUUCAUUUGCCUUCAGUAUUGUUGUGCCGGGGGUGAAAUCCUUGAAGAUUCUGGUGGUGAGAGUGUCAAAGACAUAUCCCUUGGCAUUAAGAGCUGUUCCUUGAAUCCAGAUUGAACUACUCGAAGGGAAAGGAACGUGAGCUACUUAACAGCAUAAUAAACCAGAAGAACCGAAGGGAAGAACCCGCUUGCUCUGUGAAGAAGAUCACUCCUAGUUAAACAAAGAAAUUUAGGGUCGCCUGCUUUUCAUGGAAAUCACCUACAUAUGGCCUUUGAAAUUUGUCACUGAAGAUGGUUUCGCUCUAAGAUGCAAACCUGUGAGAAGUCUUGUGUCUCUGCCCAGCACUAUUCAGAAUGGUCUACAGCUGGAAAAGACACACAGGCUCACCUAUAGCAGAAUGGAAUAGAGCGAAGUGACACGGAAUGGACGAGAUCUGCACACUUGAGGAAAGAAGAGGUCAGCCAAGUAUGUGAACAUCUGCAAGCACUGCUGAAAGAGGAGCCUAUGGAAACACAUGGAUGGGUCCAUUUGAUCCCACUGAAAACCGGCAGAUCCAUAGCCCAUACUGGCGGGGCAGAUUUAUAUGGAGGAGAAGAGAAAUGAAGGAAAGAGAGUUACAAACUAUACUGUUUAGGUCUGUGUUUCCAGGAAUGUGCAGAGACAGAAUGGAAAAGUGUCAGCGAGAGAGAGAGAGAAGGGUUCCAGAAUGGAUUGGUAGCAGGCUUUCUAUUAAUCAUGCAAUAAAAGAAUAAUGGCAUUCUUAAAACCUAGGUAAUUUAAAUUGCACACCUAUAACUCAUGCAUCUUCUAAUAUAAAUUUUAAAAUUUUAAAAGUAGCAAUUACAUAAAUAGGUGUCCAUGAUGUGAAAAAGAAAAGAAAAGAAAACAAAACAAAAACAAAAACAAAAUAAAAAACAGCUCUAUUCUUUUCUUAUUAAGAAAUAACAGAAUUCUGACAACGACCAACUAAUAUUUUAGUAUAUGCAGAAAUGGGCAGUUCUCUAAAUUGUACAUCUCGCUCUGCAAAUAAAAUAUAGCCUUAUAGCAUGAGAUGUAAACCCAAGCUAUGCAGAGAUUAUGUAAUAAAUCUGGAAAUUAUAAUCAAUUCUCAAGUGUUUUAUAUGGAAUACUUCCAUAAGAACUUAAGAGUUACCAGUAUGUAUAAAGAUUAUGAUUUCAAAUCAAUUAUUCAGACCUUUAAGUUAGCCAAAUGCAGUCCAUUAAAAUAUUCAUUGUUUUAUGUGCCUGUCUCUUUGGAGGACAAUUUUCAGGCUGUCUGAGACACCGAAGAUAUCACCGUCCUGUCUCUCCCAGGUGUGUUUAGCAUGUAACUGGAGGUCAUUGUCACUGAGUAAUUUGAGGGGAUUUAGAGAAAUCUUUUUCGUCCUGCAUCUUGGAGUAGUUUGUAGCAUUUGUAUGGAAAAAGGUGACAGCACUCCAUGUCCCCUGCUGAGCCAAACGUGCCUCCAGAAACAAGAGAAGGCACUAAGACCAUAAUGUCCCAUGAUAUCCCAUAAUUUCCUCUCUCAACAAAACUAAAGGCUCAUACCAUCAUUAUACAAAGGAGGAGACUGAUUGGGACUAAGAGAACUCACUCCAAGUUCUGGCUAUGGAGAGAACUGUGGCCUUUCUUCAUGAAUCCUCUCUCGUAUGAAUCUGUCCUUAUCCCCCCAAACACUAAGAACGGACAAAGGGUGGCCAUUAUAAUGAUGCAUACAUCAAAUGUGGACGUGGGCACAAGUCUUUAUUCACAGUGGUCAGUGUGGUUCACGUACGUUAUUAAAUUAUAUCGUAAAUUUUCAUUUUGGGUCCCAUUAGCUGAUGGUGACUGAUGCCCGUACAUCAAUCAAGUCACGUUGUCUCGUCUUUAAGGGAUUAAGGAUGCUCAAUAGAAACUAUAAAAUAUUGCCUUUGAACGUUUUAAAGUCGCCGAUUGCAGAACGUGUGUUGACACUUCUGUAGGGAUGAUUGUCAUGUGCUUAUUUCCAUUUUCCAGGGUCCUUCAUGCUCACACUGGGCGGGUAAUUAGCGGAGCUAAAAACGGCUAUCUGGGACUGCAACAUCUCAGCUGUCAUCCUGCUGGAGUGUGGAAAAAAAAAGUUAUUUUGUAAAAUGAGAGCCCAGCGGUACAGUCGUAUUGACUUUUGUGUCAUGUUUGUAUCAGUUUCCUCGUCAAAACAAGUUUCCCAGUUCCUCCUGGCCCAGAAGGUUCCGUUUGCUUUAUGAAAAUGAAGCUGUCUUGUUUGCUGGUUCAUAAAUCAUUGUCAAGUGGAGCCGGAUACCAGAAACAAGUUCAGAUUCCAGGAUGAUUAUCCUUACAGAUGAUGUAUUAAAUAUACAGAAUACAACUUGAUUUUCAUAAGCCACGUUGACUUUGCAGAACAAAGGCUGCAGAGGGAAAUUAUCUCAUAAGGGGAGGGGUGAGAGCCCGCCGAAGCUGGUCAGGUGGGAACAACGGGGAGGAAAGGAAAGAAGGCAGGGUAUCCGAGCGAGCGCAGAAAGAUGUGUGAGCUUUCUCCACUUCCCUCUUCGGUAUUUCCCUGCCGUCAGACCUCUGAGCACCCCAUGCCUCAUAGGCAUUUGUGGUUUUGAGUCAUUUAGGAAACAUGUUCAGAAAGGAUAUCCUUCCUUCUUCCUCUGUGCUCUCCAACUUCUCUCUCAUCCCCUGCUCUGACUAUUAUGCUCUUAGGUCAGAGCUCUCUUCCAUUUAUUCACGUGUUUUCCUGGAAUUAACCUGGUGUGAGGUGUCCCUUUGUGCUACAGUAGCUCAUGAUCUCAAGUUUCUCAAUGACUUUACAAAGCUUUCUUGCCAGGCUCUGGAACCAAUUCUGGUGGAAAAUCACAGUGGAAGACUGGGUAGAUGGCUCAGGGAUCAAAGCACUUGCUCCUGCAGAGGACCUGGGCCAGUUCUCAUCACCCACGUGGGAGCUCACAGACAUCGGUAGCUCCAGUUCUGACUUUCAAGGGCACCAGGCACAAGUACUGGUGUGCACACAUCCAUGCGACAAAACAAUUUUACACGUGAAAUAAAAUAAGUAAGUCUUAACAAAUUGCAAAAAAAAAAAAUCGGAGUGGAGCCAAGAAGAGUCAAGGGAGGAACAACUCAAGACAUGUAUCAACACAGGGAACUAAUCCCUAUUUUUAAUUUUAAUUAAUUUUUUCUCAUUAUUUUGGGAGAGGCUCCCUCACAUAGUUCUACUGACUGGCCUGGAAUUCACUUAAACUAGUAGUGAGUUUUAGACGUGGCUGGCCGUGAACUCACAGAGAUCCACCUGCCUCUGAUUCAUCAGUCCUGGGAUUAAAAAUGUGUGCCCCCACUGUUUAAAAAUGUUAUUUUAUUUUGCUUUGUGGCAGUCACUGUGUGGUCCUCAGUGUCCUGGACCUUGCUGCGUACACCAGGUUGGCCUCAGUUCUCAGAGAUCUGCAUAUCUUUACUGGGAGGAAAGACACACAGAACCAAGUUUCGUUUAGAUUCCUUGUUCUUACUGUCUUACUGUUCACUGAAUGAAAACCUUAUAUAUCUGAGAACAUUCAAAGGCAUCCCACUAACAAAUAGAGGGCUUUCUGCUGUCUGAGAUGCCUUUUGUUUAAAUGGAUUACUCACUUCCUACCGAAUUCCCAAAGCUUUUUCAGAAAUGUUUCCCCAGGAACCCUUUCUCCCCGACAGCCCUUGUCAAGGCCCCUGUCUUCUGGGCCUUGUCUUUGAGCUCCUUCUCAUUGUUCCAUUUUCAUAUGUUUUGGAGGAAUGGGCAAGAAUUCACUGCAUUUUGUGUAAAUAUUGGCCUCAUCUAAGAACAUGAAAAUCUUGCAAGUGUAGUGGUUUUGUUCUUGCAGAGUUGUGCCUAGACGCACAGCACAUAGUAGGUUUGCAUUAAAUGGUUGGAUGGCAAACAUAAUGGGAAAUCGAAAAAUACGGUCCCAGCCACCAGAGCUUCUGGAUCGAACUCUUUCAGAAGAGCAACUAGAGGGAGGUGCAUAAUAUCACCAGGGCUGAUUCCAGUGUCAGUUCGGAUUCCUUCCAAUGGGAGUGAGAAACUUCCAAAGCCCAGUGGCAGAAAGCAUAGACACGGUGCCAUGAAGUUCCUGAAUUAUAAAAAGGAAUGUUCUCUGCCUACCAGGAAAACGCUUUCAUAUGAAGACACAACUAAAGACGCUGCACAUACCCAUGCUCAUGUUUGCUACGUGCCUUCAUUUUGCAGUUCAGAGAACGGAUGCCCUAGGACAUUGCUAUCUUAUAUUAGCUGGUACAUUUGACUGACUUGUCACUGAUGGACAUAGCUGGUAAGCCUAUUCAUUUGUUCAGAGGGAAAAAAAAGAAGAAAUGGAAAAUUGCCAUUUCUUUUUAACCGAUACACAUAGAUGACCUCUCAGGGUCUUUAUCUCCAUAUGCAGAUCCAUCAUUUCGGUCAUAUGACUCUUUGUCCCAACUCAUAAACCCAAGUUUUCAUAUUUGCCAUCAACGAGCCAAAAUGUCUUCUUGAGCUUUGUACAUUCUAAAACAGAUGGGGCUUCAGAGCAAUAAACCAUGAGCUUGUUGCACACUUCAUAAA
Non-coding RNA from Rattus norvegicus (Norway rat), 6010 nucleotides. Lineage: Eukaryota; Metazoa; Chordata; Mammalia; Rodentia; Muridae. The record is from RefSeq and is a predicted model, not a curated record.